UACAGAGGGUGCGAGCGUUAAUCGGAAUUACUGGGCGUAAAGCGCGCGUAGGCGGCUUUGCAAGUCGGGUGGGAAAUCCCCAGGCUUAACCUGGGAACUGCAUUCGAGACUGCAUUGCUAGAGUAUGGGAGAGGGAAGUGGAAUUUCCGGUGUAGCGGUGAAAUGCGUAGAUAUCGGAAGGAACAUCAGUGGCGAAAGCGACUUCCUGGACCAAUACUGACGCUCAUGUGCGAAAGCGUGGGGAGCAAACAGG
RNAcentral lists this ribosomal RNA (253 nucleotides) under uncultured bacterium. RNAcentral describes it as "partial 16S ribosomal RNA". It matches the Rfam family "Bacterial small subunit ribosomal RNA", at positions 524 to 776 of the family's 1533-position model. The record is from RNAcentral.